RNAcentral lists this long non-coding RNA (1988 nucleotides) under Triticum aestivum (bread wheat). RNAcentral's name for it is "long non-coding RNA (TAES_LNC008155)". The record is from RNAcentral. Lineage: Eukaryota; Viridiplantae; Streptophyta; Magnoliopsida; Poales; Poaceae.
CUUCCGCACUGUGGCUCAUGUAGAAAACUGAAAAUGGCUCAACUGUAGUAGCAUGCAUGUCUAACAUCUUUUGUCCUUUCAUAAAGCAACGAAAGUUCAGAACAUACCAUCUUAAACCGGUGAGCGACUUGGUUUACAUUAUCUCCUAGAUGACCUGAGCUACAAAUUUAUUGUUUCCAUAAAUUAGGUAAAUAAUGUUUGUACAAUGAAUUUUAAAUGUAAAAGCAGCCUAGUAGAAAUUAAGGCAUAAUAUCAUGACGUGUGAAAAAGCUCAAUAAACUACAUCAACACAAGCAAAAUGACAGACAAAAUACAUGAUAAUAUUUUUUCGCCCAUGGAUAUGUACUUCCAAAUAGCUUUAUAUUAACAUCAUAUGCACGUGCUGAAGGAAAAUUUUAAUUAGAUCAACCAAGGCAAAAAUAUAUUGUGUAAGAUCUCAUCUCUUGUAAAAAGAAACUGGCGCAAAUAGAAAGCAGAAAUCUAAGACCAUUUAGGAAAAGAGUUAACCAGUUAAUCGGUAAAAGACAACAAUGUAAGAUGCCAUCAGUUAUAAAAAAACUGAUCAAGGAGCACAUAAAUCACUUCCCGCAGGGCGCCAUCCCCUGCCUCCAUCCUGAGCACCUCCAUCCCGUGAGCACUCAAGCCCUGGAUCCAUAGUCUCGAGCUCGCCCGAGCUCCGCCAUCUCUGCCUCGAGCUCUGAAAUCACCGCUACUAAUCAGACUCUUACUUGGAUACUUAACAAAAAAGAGUCAGAAAGGAAAUUUAUUUACCGAAACAACAUAAUGAAAUAUGAUAUAUAUCGUUCUUUAGAAUGAGAAGCUACAAAAUAGAAGAGGCAUAAGUUUAUAUGGAAGUAUUCAUAUAUCCUAGGCCGGGUUUUUACAGAGCAAUCACGGACAUGCCUUUAUACGUCUAUACAAAAUGAUCUGCGCAAGAAGGCUGCACAUAUGGAAGUAUUCAUAUAUCCUAGGCCGGGUUUUUACAGAGCAAUCACGGGCAUGCCGUUAUACAUCUAUACAAAAUGAUCUGCGCGAGAAGGCUGCUGUAAAAGUAGCAAGGAUUAAAGUAAAAAAUGCAUCACAACAAUUCAUUACUAAACAACGGAAUGAAAUACGAUAGCUAUCAAUCCUGGUAACAGGAAGCUACCAAAUAUAAGACGACCACAUUUAUAUUAUUAUUUUGCGGGUAGAGGAUAACAUUUAUAUGGAAACAUUCAAAUAUCCUAGGUCUGUAUUUUGACCAUGUAAUCACGGAUAUGUCGUUAUACCCCCACCUUCUCCUUUUACUCCGCAUACAAGUUUGGUCAAACUGAAAAUGGAAAUGCAUUAUGUUUGAACACUGAAACCCCUCCUUGCAAAAGAAUCAAUUAGAGCACCGGUCCUCAUUCAAUCUGAUCUCUGACUGUGAGCUAUUUUUGUUCUCUAUAAUUUAGCUUGGGGUUUCCACUUGUGUAGAACUGUAACAAAUAAAGCAGGGCAUGUAGCAUGGGUGCAGCUCCUGUGCUGGGCACUAUUGACAUGCUUUGCACACGUAUAAUAGGCAUGGGCAAAGGUGAGAGGGUCAUGGUGUACUGCACGGCCUGGAUGUGCACUGUGUGUAUGCGUGAGGCUGUAAAGGAUAAUAACAAUGUGUAGCUUCUCGCUUCAGUCAUAAACAGAAAAAUACAAAAAUGAACUCAACACAAAGCUAGUGCUGGGGGAAAACCAUCGAGUACCUUGUAUACAUCCUUUCUCUGGUUGAUUCUUGCUAUCGAUUCCUCUACGACGAGCCAAGAUCUGAGUCUCAUGUGUGUCCACAGGGGGAAAACAGAGGCGAGCGAGACUCCAGGCCUGUCACUCUCCUUCAUUAUCAGCUAAUUUGAAUGGUUGUUGCCAGUAAGUGAAAUGGGAAUUGUACAUCAAGAUUCACGGAGCAGAAACGAAUUACCAGAGGGAGAUGGGUAGUCUGCAAAUGGUACAAAGGAUCUCUUUUGAGCUGAUCUGCUCCA